RNAcentral lists this ribosomal RNA (2091 nucleotides) under human gut metagenome. Its description in RNAcentral is "bacterial LSU rRNA". It matches the Rfam family "Bacterial large subunit ribosomal RNA", at positions 828 to 2925 of the family's 2925-position model. The record is from RNAcentral.
UCCAAUCGAACUCGGAGAUAGCUGGUUCUCCCCGAAAUAGCUUUAGGGCUAGCGUCGAGGUAAAGUCGUGUGAAGGUAGAGCACUGAAUAUGUGAUGGCCCCAUCUCGGGGUACUGAACAUAAUCAAACUCCGAAUGUCACAAAGAUAUACUCGGCAGUCAGACAGUGGGUGAUAAGGUCCAUUGUCAAAAGGGAAACAGCCCAGACCAUCAGCUAAGGUCCCAAAAUAUAUACUAAGUGGAAAAGGAUGUGGAGAUGUCCAGACAACUAGGAGGUUGGCUCAGAAGCAGCCAUCCUUUAAAGAGUGCGUAACAGCUCACUAGUCGAAUGACUCUGCGCCGAUAAUUUACCGGGGCUAAGUAUAUUACCGAAGCUAUGGAUUUACGCGUAAGCGUGAGUGGUAGGGGAGCGUUCUAUGUGCGGAGAAGCGGUACCGUAAGGAGCCGUGGAGCGCAUAGAAGAGAGAAUGCCGGUGUGAGUAGCGAAACGUGGGUGAGAAUCCCACGCACCGAAAACCCAAGGUUUCCAGAGGAAGGUUCGUCCGCUCUGGGUAAGUCGGGACCUAAGGCGAGGCCGAGAGGCGUAGUCGAUGGACAACAGGUAGAGAUUCCUGUACUUACGGUAUGAAUGAUGGAGUGACGGAGAAGGCUAGCGGAUCCUGCUGAUGGAAAUGCAGGUGCAAGCGAGGUAGCCGACAGCCAGGCAAAUCCGGCUGUCGAAAGGCAAAGGCGUGAGGCGUAUGGAAAGCUGCGGCAAGUACAGAAGUCCGUGAAGCCAGCUUCCAAGAAAAGCUUCUAGUGAUAAUCAUACAGUAACCCGUACCGAAAAUGGACACACAUGGGUGAGGAGAGAAUCCUAAGGUGAGCGAGAGAACUAUAGCUAAGGAACUCUGCAAAAUGACUCCGUAACUUAGGGAUAAGGAGUGCUCAUAGAGAUAUGAGCCGCAGUGAAACGGCCCAAGCGACUGUUUACCAAAAACACAGCUCUAUGCUAAGUCGAAAGACGACGUAUAUGGGGUGACGCCUGCCCGGUGCUGGAAGGUUAAGAGGAUGUGUCAGCGCAAGCGAAGCAUUGAAUUGAAGCCCCAGUAAACGGCGGCCGUAACUAUAACGGUCCUAAGGUAGCGAAAUUCCUUGUCAGGUAAGUUCUGACCCGCACGAAAGGCGUAACGAUUUGGGCGCUGUCUCAGCUGUAGACUCGGUGAAGUCUUAGUACCUGUGAAGAUGCAGGUUACCCGCGACUAGACGGAAAGACCCCAUGGAGCUUUACUGUAGCUUGAUAUUGGACUUUGAUGCAAGAUGUACAGGAUAGGUAGGAGACUGAGAGACAUGCACGCCAGUGUGUGAGGAGUCAAUGUUGGGAUACUACUCUUCUUGUAUUGGAGUUCUAACCGGAUGCCAUGGAACUGGCAACGGGACAGUGUCAGGUGGGCAGUUUGACUGGGGCGGUCGCCUCCCAAAGAGUAACGGAGGCGCCCAAAGAUACCCUCAGCUUGGAUGGAAAUCAAGCGCAGAGUGCAAAGGCAUAAGGGUGUUUGACUGCGAGACCUACAAGUCGAGCAGGGACGAAAGUCGGGCUUAGUGAUCCGGCGGUGCUGAAUGGAAAGGCCGUCGCUCAACGGAUAAAAGCUACCCUGGGGAUAACAGGCUGAUCUCCCCCAAGAGUUCACAUCGACGGGGAGGUUUGGCACCUCGAUGUCGGCUCAUCGCAUCCUGGAGCUGAAGUCGGUUCCAAGGGUUGGGCUGUUCGCCCAUUAAAGCGGUACGCGAGCUGGGUUCAGAACGUCGUGAGACAGUUCGGUCCCUAUCUGUCGUGGGCGUAGGAAGUUUGAGAAGAUCUGUCCUCAGUACGAGAGGACCGGGAUGGACAUAUCAAUGGUGCACCAGUUGUCACGCCAGUGGCACAGCUGGGUAGCUAAAUAUGGAAGGGAUAAACGCUGAAGGCAUCUAAGUGUGAAACCCACUUCAAGAUGAGACUUCCCAUUACGCAAGUAAGUAAGACCCCUUAAAGACGAUAAGGUUGAUAGGUCAGGAGUGUAAGCAUGGCGACAUGUUCAGCGGACUGAUACUAAUAGGUCGAGGACUUAACCUA